CAGUAGCCACGGGAAUACGUAGGUGGCAAGCGUUGUCCGGAAUUAUUGGGCGUAAAGGGCUCGCAGGCGGUUUCUUAAGUCUGAUGUGAAAGCCCCCGGCUCAACCGGGGAGGGUCAUUAGAAACUGGGAAACUUGAGUGCAGAAGAGGAGAGUGGAAUUCCACGUGUAGCGGUGAAAUGCGUAGAGAUGUGGAGGAACACCAGUGGCGAAGGCGACUCUCUGGUCUGUAACUGACGCUGAGGAGCGAAAGCGUGGGGAGCGAACAGGAUUAGAUACCCCGGUAGUCCCUGUCUCUUAUAC
Molecule: ribosomal RNA, 301 nt
Filed under: uncultured bacterium
Lineage: Bacteria
Description: partial 16S ribosomal RNA
Rfam family: Bacterial small subunit ribosomal RNA
Source: RNAcentral